Hermetia illucens (black soldier fly) is the source of this 1005-nucleotide long non-coding RNA. RefSeq lists it as uncharacterized. The record is from RefSeq and is a predicted model, not a curated record. Lineage: Eukaryota; Metazoa; Arthropoda; Insecta; Diptera; Stratiomyidae. The transcript is spliced from 3 exons.
CUAAUCUCAAAAAGUUUUCAAUAUAAUAAGAACCCUAUAAAGCUAGAGGUUUAGUUCUGCUGAAACAUUUCAGUCUUUCGCCAAAUCUGUAAGUCACAUCGAAGUGGACCAUAAGAAAAUGGAAACCUUGGGCCUACUUGUCCGGAUUUCAUUGGUGUUACUUGCCCGAAUAGAUAUUUAUUGGCCAUUUGGCAGGAUCAUUUUCGGCGGCUAAGGAUUAUAUCAAGUAUGACCCACCACCUUUCGUAGCCAAUUGGAAUUAAGAUGUUAAUGGUAUUUUCACAAAUACAUGGAUAGUAUGUUAAAUACUUAAUGUUUCUACAAAUCUUAAUACUAAAUAAAAUAUUAUAUGUACAAGUAGGAUUGUCAUUUAUCUCCCAUGGGUAGCGUGGUCGACGCACUACGGGCCAUCGCUAACGGUUUGCUGAAAUGAGUUUCAGCUCCUUCCCGGACUUCCCAAGAAAAUUGCACUUCUCCUCUGCUGCCUCGCGCCAUAUGUGUGAGUGUCCGCGGCUUUGCGAUAUGGGCGGUAUUUCAUUCGCUUUUCCAAUCUGGCAAGAAAAGGCAUUGAAUAACAUGUAAUAGUCCCUCUUUUCCUCACAUUUUAAUACCUCUCAGCUUUUUCAACUACCCCUCUUAAUUUCAUAAUUACCAUUCCGAUUUAAUUUUUCCUGCGAUUUUGAAUUUGAAGUUCAAAGCCAGGGUCGGCGAAAUCAAAAAUCGGCGGGACCGGGGCCGGCUGAUGCAGAUUAACAGCUAGACGCAGCACGGGAGAUCGCUUUUUAGUGCAGGGAAUAAAACGGCGAAGCAAUGAUUAUAAAAUAAUAAUAAGUGUGGUAAUUUAUGGUAUAAAAUUGAACUUUGUCAUUACUUAAUUGAUUGAUAUAAUAAAGAAGAAAAAGAGAAAAAAAAACGAAAACAUUCAAGGAACUUUACCGGUAGAAAUUACGUCUACCUUGCUCUUAGCUGAGUUCAUUUGUUCCAAAACAGGAUUGAAGUGUUUGA